Molecule: non-coding RNA, 30 nt
Filed under: Homo sapiens (human)
Lineage: Eukaryota; Metazoa; Chordata; Mammalia; Primates; Hominidae
Source: RNAcentral
UGCUCGUAAAGGAUGAAGAACUGUCGCUGC